CCUACGGGGGGCAGCAGUGGGGAAUAUUGCACAAUGGGGGAAACCCUGAUGCAGCAACGCCGCGUGAGCGAUGAAGGCCUUCGGGUCGUAAAGCUCUGUCCUAAGGGAAGAAUACUGACGGUACCUUAGGAGGAAGCCCCGGCUAACUACGUGCCAGCAGCCGCGGUAAUACGUAGAGGGCUAGCGUUAUCCGGAAUUACUGGGCGUGAAGGGUGCGUAGGCGGCCCUCCAAGUCAAAGGUGAAAGGCUACGGCUAAACCGGAGUAAGCCUUUGAAACCGUAGGGCUUGAUAGUAGGAGAGGCGGGUGGAACUCCCAGUGGAGCGGCGAAAUGCGUAGAGAUCAGGAGGAACACCAGUUGCGAAGGCGGCUCUCUGGACUGUAACUGGCGCAGAGGCACGAAAGCGUAGGGAGCGAACAGGAUUAGAUACCCGAGUAGUC
Molecule: ribosomal RNA, 440 nt
Filed under: uncultured bacterium
Lineage: Bacteria
Description: bacterial SSU rRNA
Rfam family: Bacterial small subunit ribosomal RNA
Source: RNAcentral